CCUACGGGGGGCAGCAGUGGGGAAUCUUCCGCAAUGGACGAAAGUCUGACGGAGCAACGCCGCGUGAGUGAUGACGGCCUUCGGGUUGUAAAGCUCUGUUAAUCGGGACGAAAGGCCUUCUUGCGAAUAGUGAGAAGGAUUGACGGUACCGGAAUAGAAAGCCACGGCUAACUACGUGCCAGCAGCCGCGGUAAUACGUAGGUGGCAAGCGUUGUCCGGAAUUAUUGGGCGUAAAGCGCGCGCAGGCGGAUAGGUCAGUCUGUCUUAAAAGUUCGGGGCUUAACCCCGUGAUGGGAUGGAAACUGCCAAUCUAGAGUAUCGGAGAGGAAAGUGGAAUUCCUAGUGUAGCGGUGAAAUGCGUAGAUAUUAGGAAGAACACCAGUGGCGAAGGCGACUUUCUGGACGAAAACUGACGCUGAGGCGCGAAAGUCAGGGGAGCGAACGGGAUUAGAUACCCUGGUAGUC
Molecule: ribosomal RNA, 465 nt
Filed under: uncultured Veillonella sp.
Lineage: Bacteria; Bacillati; Bacillota; Negativicutes; Veillonellales; Veillonellaceae
Description: bacterial SSU rRNA
Rfam family: Bacterial small subunit ribosomal RNA
Source: RNAcentral